CACCCUUUAGGCAUGUUUGACAGCAUUGCCACCCUUGCUGUUGCUCAGAAUAUGCGAGAACUUUAUAGAUUGGUGCUUGUGGACACACCAUUGGCUCCAUACUUCUCAGAGUGCAUCACAUCUGAGGAUUUGGAUGACAUGAAUAUUGAAAUUAUGAGGAAUACUCUUUACAAGGCAUAUCUUGAAGACUUUUACAGGUUUUGUCAGAAACUUGGGGGUGCCACAGCCGAGAUAAUGUCUGAUCUCCUUGCCUUUGAGGCUGAUAGAAGAGCUGUCAAUAUUACAAUAAAUAGCAUUGGCACAGAGCUUACCAG
Molecule: unclassified non-coding RNA, 314 nt
Filed under: Hevea brasiliensis (rubber tree)
Lineage: Eukaryota; Viridiplantae; Streptophyta; Magnoliopsida; Malpighiales; Euphorbiaceae
Source: RNAcentral